This is a small nuclear RNA of Monodelphis domestica (gray short-tailed opossum), 197 nucleotides long. Its record names the gene U2. It matches the Rfam family "U2 spliceosomal RNA". From Rfam's summary of the family: U2 is a small nuclear RNA (snRNA) component of the spliceosome (involved in pre-mRNA splicing). Complementary binding between U2 snRNA (in an area lying towards the 5' end but 3' to hairpin I) and the branchpoint sequence (BPS) of the intron results the bulging out of an unpaired adenosine, on the BPS, which initiates a nucleophilic attack at the intronic 5' splice site, thus starting the first of two transesterification reactions that mediate splicing. The record is from Ensembl. Lineage: Eukaryota; Metazoa; Chordata; Mammalia; Didelphimorphia; Didelphidae.
AUCGCUUCUCAGCCUUUUGGCUAAGAUCAAGUGUAUUAUCCUAUUCAUGAUCAUGGAUAUGAUCAUUAAUAGUAUAUUUUUCUCCAUCACAGCCUAAUUUUUUAUACUUCUCCCCUAAUGCCCUCUUUACAAAGAGGGAGGUGAAGAAAGAGAAGGAAUCUGAUCAAUACUAUUAAUCAAAUGAUCUUCUACCUUCU